RNAcentral lists this ribosomal RNA (1119 nucleotides) under Staphylococcus aureus DAR5872. RNAcentral's name for it is "bacterial SSU rRNA". It matches the Rfam family "Bacterial small subunit ribosomal RNA", at positions 8 to 1106 of the family's 1533-position model. Lineage: Bacteria; Bacillati; Bacillota; Bacilli; Caryophanales; Staphylococcaceae. The record is from RNAcentral.
AGAGUUUGAUCCUGGCUCAGGAUGAACGCUGGCGGCGUGCCUAAUACAUGCAAGUCGAGCGAACGGACGAGAAGCUUGCUUCUCUGAUGUUAGCGGCGGACGGGUGAGUAACACGUGGAUAACCUACCUAUAAGACUGGGAUAACUUCGGGAAACCGGAGCUAAUACCGGAUAAUAUUUUGAACCGCAUGGUUCAAAAGUGAAAGACGGUCUUGCUGUCACUUAUAGAUGGAUCCGCGCUGCAUUAGCUAGUUGGUAAGGUAACGGCUUACCAAGGCAACGAUGCAUAGCCGACCUGAGAGGGUGAUCGGCCACACUGGAACUGAGACACGGUCCAGACUCCUACGGGAGGCAGCAGUAGGGGAUCUUCCGCAAUGGGCGAAAGCCUGACGGAGCAACGCCGCGUGAGUGAUGAAGGUCUUCGGAUCGUAAAACUCUGUUAUUAGGGAAGAACAUAUGUGUAAGUAACUGUGCACAUCUUGACGGUACCUAAUCAGAAAGCCACGGCUAACUACGUGCCAGCAGCCGCGGUAAUACGUAGGUGGCAAGCGUUAUCCGGAAUUAUUGGGCGUAAAGCGCGCGUAGGCGGUUUUUUAAGUCUGAUGUGAAAGCCCACGGCUCAACCGUGGAGGGUCAUUGGAAACUGGAAAACUUGAGUGCAGAAGAGGAAAGUGGAAUUCCAUGUGUAGCGGUGAAAUGCGCAGAGAUAUGGAGGAACACCAGUGGCGAAGGCGACUUUCUGGUCUGUAACUGACGCUGAUGUGCGAAAGCGUGGGGAUCAAACAGGAUUAGAUACCCUGGUAGUCCACGCCGUAAACGAUGAGUGCUAAGUGUUAGGGGGUUUCCGCCCCUUAGUGCUGCAGCUAACGCAUUAAGCACUCCGCCUGGGGAGUACGACCGCAAGGUUGAAACUCAAAGGAAUUGACGGGGACCCGCACAAGCGGUGGAGCAUGUGGUUUAAUUCGAAGCAACGCGAAGAACCUUACCAAAUCUUGACAUCCUUUGACAACUCUAGAGAUAGAGCUUUCCCCUUCGGGGGACAAAGUGACAGGUGGUGCAUGGUUGUCGUCAGCUCGUGUCGUGAGAUGUUGGGUUAAGUCCCGCAACGAGCGCAACCCUU